Pseudopipra pipra is the source of this 1858-nucleotide long non-coding RNA. RefSeq lists it as uncharacterized. The transcript has 2 exons. The record is from RefSeq and is a predicted model, not a curated record. NCBI's taxonomy places the organism in Eukaryota, Metazoa, Chordata, Aves, Passeriformes, Pipridae.
GUGGGUGCGGGGAUGGGGCGCUCGAACAGCUCUGUGUGGCUGCGGGCUGAGCCCCACGGGGGUCUGUGCCCCCACAGCUGGGCUGGCAGCCCUCCUGCCGUGCUCUCUGGUGGACGGUUCAGACACUGCUUGUAUUUUCUUAAUUCCUGAAAAAAAACAUAUAGUUGAGGAAACUCCUCCCUGCAGUUCGCUGGGAGAGGCUGGGCCGUGGGGAUGUGCUUGGGCUGGGACCCAUCGGGCUCAUCUUGGAGGGAUGGAGAGCCCGGCUUCAAGCGGGGUGGGGAGCCCAGCAAGGGACAGGUUGGGGAGCACCAGGCCAAGGGAGGGGAACGGAGGAGAAACUGGCUGUAAACAAGGGGAGCGUGACCAGACUAGCCUGGCUCCAGCACCGUGCUGAAGGCAGAACAAAAAAUAAACUGCAGAAAAAGCCAAUUAUGUUUUCAGCUGGCUGGAGCAGGGCUCGGAUCUGCGUGCAGCACGACCAGGGGAGGCUCGGGGAAGUGUCCUGGGAUCAAGGGGUUGGGACUGUGCAAACAGGGUGAACCUGCUGGCUGAGCAUCUGUCCUGGAGCCUGAGAGGGCCCUUUGGUUGAGGAGGGGAGAGAAGACGAUCCCGGGCUGAAUUGUGGCUGGAGGAAGGUGGAGCACAUCUGUCCGCUGGGUCUCUUGAUCUUUGGAAGUCAGGGGCUGUUCUCAGUUAGAAAUGCAAUUUCAAAAUUCCUUCAUCUUUUGAUAUUCGGGUUUCGGGUUUUUGGGGUUUGCUCUAAACUUUUUUUUCUGUAAUACCAAGCUUUAUGUGUUUUCCACAGGGUGUCAGAAAAAUCAUAAGCACAAACUGCAGCUGGUGCUUCUGGGGCUAGUGAGGAUCGGUGGGAGCAAAUGAGGUGCUCCCCACACUGCUUGGCUUUUGGGGGCACUGGCUGUGCCUGUCCUUCUCUGCCCUUUGGGGACAAAACUGGUGUAAUGAUUGCACUCGGAUUCCUUCAGGCUCCAAACCAGACACGAGAUAGGAACCAGGAAUCCUUUUCAAAGUCGUGUUUUAACAAAGGAUAUUCCUCUUGUUUUUCCAGACACGCAACUUACAAUAUUUGGAGUUUUAAGUAUGUCAUUUGAAUUCUUUCACACAGGGUGGAUUUAAAAAUCAUCUUCCUUAGAGAUGCCUCCUACUUGCCAAAAGGUAAAUUCCUCUGUCUGCUGCUUUUUGUCUUUUUCACUUGAAAUGCUGCAGGGCUGCCCUGGUCCCACCCUGCAGAUUGUAAUGUUUGGAAAAGGGAGGAGAUGAGAACUAUCCCUUUCUCACUGACAUUAAUUACAAGUAUUAAACACCAAGGCAGCUACACAACAUUACAGACAAAAUAAAAACACGAGUUGGAGGAGCCAAGUUCUGCAUUUGGUGCUCCACAAUCAAGAUGUGUCUGAGCACAUCAUGGCACGGACGUGCCAGAAGCACAUCCCUCAGUUCCAGUCCUGCUCCUGGUCUGGCUGGUCCAGUCAGGACUCAGAGAACCAGGUCCAUCUUUUUCCUGUGUGAUGGUGGUGAUGGUGGUGAUGGUGGUGAUGGUCGUGGUGGUGGUGGUUAUUUUGUUGGUCAUGGUCAUUGUGGUCCCCAAAGUGCAUCUCCCACCCUCAUGCCAGGGCUGGGGUUUAUUUCCCAGGGAAGGUGGUGCCUCUCACAAGGUGUUUGGUGGGGUCCCCUCUGCCUGAACCCCCCAGGACUGAGGGUUUCCCACCACCAGGGUUGUGUGAGAUCCCUCCCCAGCCUGUGCUGUGCUGGCUUGGUGGGAGAAGCCUUCGCUGCUGCUCUGGGCCGUCUCACGCUCUGCCUCGGCUUGUAAUUAAAAAUGAAAUAUUUGGGCUAA